AGAGUUUGAUCCUGGCUCAGGACAAACGCUGGCGGCGUGCGUAACACAUGCAAGUCGGACGAGGGGGAGCGUCUUUUCGGAGAGGCUUUCUUGAGUGGCGGACGGGUGCGUAACACGUGGAUAACCUGCCCUGGUGUGGGGGAUACCCUGUAGAAAUACGGGCUAAUACCGCAUGUGGUCGCUUGUAGGGAGCUAGAAGC
This 200-nucleotide ribosomal RNA is filed under the name uncultured bacterium. RNAcentral's name for it is "partial 16S ribosomal RNA". It matches the Rfam family "Bacterial small subunit ribosomal RNA", at positions 8 to 198 of the family's 1533-position model. The record is from RNAcentral.